UGAGGAAUAUUGGUCAAUGGACGAGAGUCUGAACCAGCCAAGUAGCGUGAAGGAUGACUGCCCUAUGGGUUGUAAACUUCUUUUAUAUGGGAAUAAAGUAUUCCACGUGUGGGAUUUUGUAUGUACCAUAUGAAUAAGGAUCGGCUAACUCCGUGCCAGCAGCCGCGGUAAUACGGAGGAUCCGAGCGUUAUCCGGAUUUAUUGGGUUUAAAGGGAGCGUAGGUGGAUUGUUAAGUCAGUUGUGAAAGUUUGCGGCUCAACCGUAAAAUUGCAGUUGAAACUGGCAGUCUUGAGUACAGUAGAGGUGGACGGAAUUCGUGGUGUAGCGGUGAAAUGCUUAGAUAUCACGAAGAACUCCGAUUGCGAAGGCAGCUCACUAGACUGCAACUGACACUGAUGCUCGAAAGUGUGGGUAUCAAACAGGAUUAGAUACCCUGGUAGUCCACACAGUAAACGAUGAAUACUCGCUGUUUGCGAUAUACAGUAAGCGGCCAAGCGAAAGCAUUAAGUAUUCCACCUGGGGAGUACGCCGGCAACGGUGAAACUCAAAGGAAUUGACGGGGGCCCGCACAAGCGGAGGAACAUGUGGUUUAAUUCGAUGAUACGCGAGGAACCUUACCCGGGCUUAAAUUGCAUUUGAAUAAUCUGGAAACAGGUUAGCCGCAAGGCAAAUGUGAAGGUGCUGCAUGGUUGUCGUCAGCUCGUGCCGUGAGGUGUCGGCUUAAGUGCCAUAACGAGCGCAACCCUUAUCUUUAGUUACUAACAGGUUAUGCUGAGGACUCUAGAGAGACUGCCGUCGUAAGAUGUGAGGAAGGUGGGGAUGACGUCAAAUCAGCACGGCCCUUACGUCCGGGGCUACACACGUGUUACAAUGGGGGGUACAGAAGGCAGCUACCUGGCGACAGGAUGCUAAUCCCAAAAACCUCUCUCAGUUCGGAUCGAAGUCUGCAACCCGACUUCGUGAAGCUGGAUUCGCUAGUAAUCGCGCAUCAGCCAUGGCGCGGUGAAUACGUUCCC
This 1017-nucleotide ribosomal RNA is filed under the name uncultured bacterium. RNAcentral's name for it is "bacterial SSU rRNA". It matches the Rfam family "Bacterial small subunit ribosomal RNA", at positions 355 to 1375 of the family's 1533-position model. The record is from RNAcentral.